RNAcentral lists this transfer RNA (73 nucleotides) under Actinomycetota bacterium. RNAcentral describes it as "tRNA-Gln". It matches the Rfam family "tRNA". From Rfam's summary of the family: Transfer RNA (tRNA) molecules are approximately 80 nucleotides in length. The record is from RNAcentral. Lineage: Bacteria; Bacillati; Actinomycetota.
UCCGGGGUGGGGUAACCGGCGAGCCCGCGAGGUUUUGGUCCUCGAGGAGGGAGUUCAAGUCUUCCCCCCGGAA